This 485-nucleotide ribosomal RNA is filed under the name uncultured bacterium. RNAcentral describes it as "bacterial SSU rRNA". It matches the Rfam family "Bacterial small subunit ribosomal RNA", at positions 46 to 526 of the family's 1533-position model. The record is from RNAcentral.
GCUUAACACAUGCAAGUCGAGGGGCAGCACUGGUAGCAAUACCUGGUGGCGACCGGCGCAAGGGUGCGUAACGCGUGAGCAACAUGCCCGUAUCAGGGGAAUAAUCCAGGGAAACUUGGUCUAAUACCCCAUAGUAAAUAUUAAAGGCAUCUUUAAUAUUUUAAAGCUUUGGUGGAUACGGAUUGGCUCGCGUGACAUUAGCUAGAUGGUAAGGUAACGGCUUACCAUGGCUACGAUGUCUAGGGGUUCUGAGAGGAAGAUCCCCCACACUGGAACUGAGACACGGUCCAGACUCCUACGGGAGGCAGCAGUGAGGAAUAUUGGACAAUGGAUGGAAAUCUGAUCCAGCCAUGCCGCGUGCAGGAAGACGGCCCUAUGGGUUGUAAACUGCUUUUAUAUGGGAGCAAUAAGGCCUACGUGUAGGUUGAUGAGAGUACCAUAUGAAUAAGCACCGGCUAACUCCGUGCCAGCAGCCGCGGUAAUAC